This 469-nucleotide ribosomal RNA is filed under the name uncultured bacterium. RNAcentral describes it as "partial 16S ribosomal RNA". It matches the Rfam family "Bacterial small subunit ribosomal RNA", at positions 28 to 507 of the family's 1533-position model. The record is from RNAcentral.
GACGAACGCUGGCGGCGUGCUUAACACAUGCAAGUCGAACGGAGGAGCGAGUGCUUGCCCUCGCGGAUCAUUGGCGAACGGGUGAGUAACACGUGAGUAACAUCCCCAUCACUCAGGGAUAAGCACUGGAAACGGCGUCUAAAACAGGAGACAACCUACCCUUCCACGGGGUGCUGGUGGGAAGAUUUCUCGGUGUUGGAUGGACUCGCGGCCUAGCAGCUUGUUGGCGGGGUAAUGGCGCACCAAGGCGACGACGGGUAGCCGGCCUGAGAGGGUGACCGGCCACACUGGGCCUGAGACAGGGCCCAGACUCCUACGGGACGCAGCAGUGGGGAAUAUUGCACAAUGGGCGCAAGCCUGAUGCGGCGACGCCGCGUGAGGGAUGACCGCCUUCGGGUUGUAAACCUCUUUCAGCGGGGAAGAAGCGAUAGUGACGGUACCUGCAGAAGAAGCCCCGGCUAACUACGUG